Molecule: ribosomal RNA, 447 nt
Filed under: uncultured bacterium
Lineage: Bacteria
Description: bacterial SSU rRNA
Rfam family: Bacterial small subunit ribosomal RNA
Source: RNAcentral
UGGGGAAUUUUGGGCAAUGGGGGAAACCCUGACCCAGCAACGCCGCGUGAAGGAUGAAGUAUUUCGGUAUGUAAACUUCGAAAGAAUAGGAAGAAUAAAUGACGGUACUAUUUAUAAGGUCCGGCUAACUACGUGCCAGCAGCCGCGGUAAUACGUAGGGACCAAGCGUUGUUCGGAUUUACUGGGCGUAAAGGGCGCGUAGGCGGCAUGACAAGUCACUUGUGAAAUCUCUGGGCUUAACCCAGAACGGCCAAGUGAUACUGUCGCGCUAGAGUGCAGAAGGGGCAAUCGGAAUUCUUGGUGUAGCGGUGAAAUGCGUAGAUAUCAAGAGGAACACCUGAGGUGAAGACGGAUUGCUGGGCUGACACUGACGCUGAGGCGCGAAAGCCAGGGGAGCAAACGGGAUUAGAUACCCUUGUAGUCCCUGAGCGGGCUGGCAAGGCGCAU